CAAUAGCGCAUGUUAAAGUUGUUGCAGUUAAAAAGCUCGUAGUUGGAUUUGUGGCGUGCGGUGGGUUCCGGGCACUUGUUGUCUGAGUAACUUGCUGUUGCCAUCCUUGGGUGGAACCUGUGUGGCAUUAGGUUGUCGUGCAGGGGAUGCCCAUCAUUUACUGUGAAAAAAUUAGAGUGUUCAAAGCAGGCUUAUGCCGUUGAAUAUAUUAGCAUGGAAUAAUGAGAUAGGACUUUUUUGCUAUUUUGUUGGUUUGCGCAAAGAGGUAAUGAUUAAUAGGGACAGUUGGGGGUAUUCGCAUUCCAUUGUCAGAGGUGAAAUUCUUGGAUUUUUGGAAGACGAACUACUGCGAAAGCAUUUGCCAAGGAUGUUUUCAUUAA
This 380-nucleotide ribosomal RNA is filed under the name uncultured eukaryote. Its description in RNAcentral is "partial 18S ribosomal RNA". It matches the Rfam family "Eukaryotic small subunit ribosomal RNA", at positions 592 to 976 of the family's 1831-position model. The record is from RNAcentral.